AACUUUGCGUAGAGGCAAUAUCGUAACCAAUGAGGUUAAUCCGAGGUGCGAUUAUUGCUAGUUGAAAACACCAAAACCUAUAUUGUUAGAUUUCGAAGCGAACAGUGAGUGAUAAAGUAUAAGUUAUUUGUGACAAGCUUAGAGA
Molecule: small nuclear RNA, 145 nt
Organism: Nymphalis io (European peacock)
Lineage: Eukaryota; Metazoa; Arthropoda; Insecta; Lepidoptera; Nymphalidae
Product: U4 spliceosomal RNA
Exons: 1
Source: RefSeq, a predicted model, not a curated record